Molecule: non-coding RNA, 132 nt
Organism: Chelonoidis abingdonii (Abingdon island giant tortoise)
Lineage: Eukaryota; Metazoa; Chordata; Testudines; Testudinidae
Source: RefSeq, a predicted model, not a curated record
CUGCAUCGCCAGCCAUGAUGAUUCAGAGCUCCACGCUGGGCAAGCAGGAAUGUAAUUCAAAAGUUUCCGCGGGGCUUUUACUGUUUACCUGCCCGCAUGUGCCUCGAGUUCAGAUUUCUGUCCACAGCAGUC